GAAAGUAGAGAAUCAACCAAGUUGAAGGCCCGAAUCCCAAGGCUCGUGAAGGAUAAAGUGUAGUACAAGUUCUUGCCGUCGUUCUAAGCUACAAAUCAAACUUGGGGUGUUGAUUUCGUGGUGGAUGCUCAUAAAAGAUCAAAGUUGAAAAGGUUGACGAACAUUGUAUUACGCUCAAAGGCUGGAAUUAAGGCAACGAUAUACAGGUUGACGACUCAGCUAUUUAGGAGUGCACGUAUCAGCUACUGGUGAGCCCCAAAUUCCUUCGGGGCGUUGUCAGCUAUCUAGUUAUUUCAGUUUAUAGAAGUACGACUUAAUUAUUAAGUACUCUUAGAGGC
Molecule: long non-coding RNA, 338 nt
Organism: Lycium ferocissimum
Lineage: Eukaryota; Viridiplantae; Streptophyta; Magnoliopsida; Solanales; Solanaceae
Exons: 3
Source: RefSeq, a predicted model, not a curated record